This 301-nucleotide ribosomal RNA is filed under the name uncultured bacterium. RNAcentral's name for it is "partial 16S ribosomal RNA". It matches the Rfam family "Bacterial small subunit ribosomal RNA", at positions 509 to 807 of the family's 1533-position model. The record is from RNAcentral.
CAGUAGCCGCGGUAAUACGAAGGUCCCGAGCGUUGUUCGGGAUCACUGGGCGGAAAGGGAGCGUAGGCGGCGUGGUAAGUCAGAUGUGAAAUCCCGGGGCUCUACCCCGGAACUGCAUCCGAUACUGCCAUGCUAGAGGAUUGGAGAGGUAGCCGGAAUUCUUGGUGUAGCAGUGAAAUGCGUGGAGAUCAAGAGGAACACUCGUGGCGAAAGCGAGCUACUGGACGAUAACUGACGCUGAGGCUCGAAGGCCAGGGUAGCGAAAGGGAUUAGAUACCCCAGUAGUCCCUGUCUCUUAUAC